UACGUAGGGGGCAAGCGUUGUCCGGAAUUAUUGGGCGUAAAGCGCGCGCAGGCGGCGCAUUAAGUUGGGUGUCAAAGGCAAUAGCUCAACCAUUGUACGCACCCAAAACUGGUGCGCUUGAGUGCAGUAGAGGAGAGUGGAAUUCCCGGUGUAGCGGUGGAAUGCGUAGAUAUCGGGAGGAACACCAGUGGCGAAGGCGGCUCUCUGGCCUGCAACUGACGCUGAGGCGCGAAAGCGUGGGGAGCAAACAGG
RNAcentral lists this ribosomal RNA (252 nucleotides) under uncultured bacterium. Its description in RNAcentral is "partial 16S ribosomal RNA". It matches the Rfam family "Bacterial small subunit ribosomal RNA", at positions 524 to 776 of the family's 1533-position model. The record is from RNAcentral.